Molecule: small nuclear RNA, 182 nt
Organism: Apodemus sylvaticus (European woodmouse)
Lineage: Eukaryota; Metazoa; Chordata; Mammalia; Rodentia; Muridae
Product: U2 spliceosomal RNA
Exons: 1
Source: RefSeq, a predicted model, not a curated record
AUUACUUCCUGGCCUUUUAGCUAGGAUCAAGUACAGUUCUAUUUUCAUAAGUCUACUGCCUUAUGCAGCCUCUGUUUGAGUUGUAUAAAUGGAGUUUUAGAGCAGAGAAAUCCAAUGGAGGCCUGAUCCAUCGACCCCCAUACCUCACUUACUGCAGUACCUCCAGGAAUGGUGCAUCCCUU